GAUGAACGCUGGCGGCGUGCCUAAUACAUGCAAGUCGAGCGAACGGACGAGAAGCUUGCUUCUCUGAUGUUAGCGGCGGACGGGUGAGUAACACGUGGAUAACCUACCUAUAAGACUGGGAUAACUUCGGGAAACCGGAGCUAAUACCGGAUGAUAUUUUGAACCGCAUGGUUCAAAAGUGAAAGACGGUCUUGCUGUCACUUAUAGAUGGAUCCGCGCUGCAUUAGCUAGUUGGUAAGGUAACGGCUUACCAAGGCAACGAUGCAUAGCCGACCUGAGAGGGUGAUCGGCCACACUGGAACUGAGACACGGUCCAGACUCCUACGGGAGGCAGCAGUAGGGAAUCUUCCACAAUGGGCGAAAGCCUGACGAAGCAACGCCGCGUGAGUGAUGAAGGUCUUCGGAUCGUAAAACUCUGUUAUUAGGGAAGAACAUAUGUGUAAGUAACUGUGCACAUCUUGACGGUACCUAAUCAGAAAGCCACGGCUAACUACGUG
RNAcentral lists this ribosomal RNA (497 nucleotides) under uncultured bacterium. Its description in RNAcentral is "partial 16S ribosomal RNA". It matches the Rfam family "Bacterial small subunit ribosomal RNA", at positions 28 to 507 of the family's 1533-position model. The record is from RNAcentral.